This 1922-nucleotide long non-coding RNA is filed under the name Homo sapiens (human). Its description in RNAcentral is "HSALNT0030650". Lineage: Eukaryota; Metazoa; Chordata; Mammalia; Primates; Hominidae. The record is from RNAcentral.
AGCAAUCGACAUAUGUAAGAAGUACAUUGGUUUGGUCUGGAAAGGCGGGACAACUAGAAGCAAAGGCUGGAAGACUCUUCCAGGUCACAGAUAGGUGAUACACAAAUGGUUACAUUCUUUUGAGUUUCUGAUUAGCCUUUCCAAAGUAGGCAAAUCAGAUAUGCAUCUAUCUCAGUGAGCAGAGGAGUGACUUUGAAUAGAAUGGGAGGCAGGUUUGCCCUAAGCAGUUUCCAGCUUGAGUUUUCCUCAGUGAUUCUGGGGGCCCAAGAUAUUUUCCUUUCACAAGCCAGCAGGGAAUGAGCUGUUCUGAGUUGAACAGAACGGGAAACUGCACUUUUGACUCUGAAUGUAUUUCAAUGGAGCAGCCUCUGCUGAAAGCCGGGCUCAGACACUGAACAGCCGCUUCAGGGAGAUGCAAUGGUUGCAACUUGUGAACCGUGCUUUCCUUUCCACCGCCUUUUCUCUACAUUUGUCUGAUUCACCAGCAGCUCAACACGUUGCCUCCAGCCCAAUUCCCUCUGAAGAAAGUAUGCAGAUGAUUCAUCUUCUCUGAAAAAACUACCCAUCCCAGGGUAGUGCCCAGCCUCCUUUCUCUUGGGCAUAUACAGCCUAAAUUCCCCGGCAUCCCAGGGUAGUGCCAGCCUCCUUUCUCUUGGACAUAUACAGCCUAAACUCGGCAAGCAACAACAGGAGAGGAGGGUAUUCUAGAGGAACUCCCAGAAACCACCUCAUCACCAAGGACUGCAGGGGAGGUGACAGCCCCCCUAAGAAAAUCAGAAGAGACACGAGCACAUUGCAGAUCUAAAGGAGAGCUAAGUGUUUUCGGUUACACACCAGCAGGGCUUCCCUCUCUGCAGAGCCCUGGAGUCUCUUCCAAGUAGAAAAUCACACUCUGUCCUUCAGCCUGAGAGUGAAGAGAGAAGGCAAGUAAAACAAGGACCUCCUGAACUUGGCCAACACCCCACUCCUGCUGCCUCCCACCCCACCCAGCUCCGUUCCUUGGCCAGUGAGAUAAUGGAAGGUUCAGCCCUUGCAGCUGACGUGGGGUGGGGAGCAGACGCCCACUCUGGGCACUUCCAGCCGACACUGACCUUUCAGUCAUGGAAACAUUCCCCAGACUGACACUAAUCGGGGGCACAUCUGGCGUUUGGACUGCAUCCAGAUGGGGGUUUGUGUUAGUCGAGUCAGCAUGAUAACCCGCUGGGGAGGGAGGGAGGGAGGGGAGAGGACACAGCAGCUGAGAGCAAUCCCCAUCCUUGGCUGCGUGAGGGAGAGGUGGUCAUGCUGCGGCCAGUGAGUCAUAGACUAGAGACCACCUAAUUCCUGUCCACCCCUGCUCUCCCUGCUCCCUCCAACAGAGGACAAACUGGAUCCACCCAGAGAGCCAACUCGCCAGAGUUCCACAACUGGUCAGCAGCAGACUACAAUCUCAGUGUCCCGGCUCCCAUUCUAUCGCACUGCCCACUUUCUACACUCUCUCAAAGUGUAGUGUGUUAUUUCAGGAUAAAAUAUGUGCCAAGGUGAUGAAAAGAAUCCAGCUGUUUCUUCUCUUUCACUUCCUGUGAUUUGUAAAAGCAUAAGACGAUUUUCCAAGACAGUGACAAACCACCAUCGCUCACACCCAUUCCACCCACCCCAAUUCUUUCAUCGUAGCUUCUUUUCUGGAUUUGGAAGAAGAGACCGCCCUUUGUGACUGGUUCAUGGACUUUGUCAGAAAUCAACACAAUGUCUUAUUCUCCCAUCCCUAGAACAAGCGACUGCAAUUGGGAAUAAGACUUCAUAGUAUAGAAGUUCCAGCCAUACAGGUCAGGAAUGACAAAGUGUCUUGGCCAGCUCUCAGCCUCUGCCUUUACAAAGUCUGACACCUGUUGCAGUCACGAAUUGCACUGCUAAAGAGGUAAUCAAGCAAACCAAAGCCAGGA